Kogia breviceps (pygmy sperm whale) is the source of this 269-nucleotide non-coding RNA. The record is from RefSeq and is a predicted model, not a curated record. NCBI's taxonomy places the organism in Eukaryota, Metazoa, Chordata, Mammalia, Artiodactyla, Physeteridae.
CAACACUGAUGUUUCUAUCCCGUCAUCUUUAAUACCCUUCACGUGUGCUCCAUAUGUGCAUGUCCAUGAUAUGAAGACAUCCUAAGGGCCAUCCUUCUCUAAUAGUUGUUCAUCCCUUCCUGGAGUUCCUGUCUUCAAAGGUGUGACUAUUUGAAACUCCUUGCCCAGGAAGACAGAUGAAAAUGGGGGCCCGUGGAUGGAGAUGACAAGGGAUGUGGUGGGGAAGGGAAAAUAAUUGUUUCUUUUAAUAAAUCAUCAUCAUUAAAAGU